UGGGGAAUAUUGCACAAUGGGCGCAAGCCUGAUGCAGCGACGCCGCGUGAGGGAUGGAGGCCUUCGGGUUGUAAACCUCUUUCGCCAGUGAAGCAGGCCAUCUUCUUUGUGGGGUGGUUGACGGUAGCUGGAUAAGAAGCGCCGGCUAACUACGUGCCAGCAGCCGCGGUAAUACGUAGGGCGCGAGCGUUGUCCGGAAUUAUUGGGCGUAAAGAGCUCGUAGGCGGCUGGUCUCGUCUGUCGUGAAAUCCCCUGGCUUAACGGGGGGCUUGCGGUGGGUACGGGCCGGCUUGAGUGCGGUAGGGGGGACUAGAAUUCCUGGUGUAGCGGUGGAAUGCGCAGAUAUCAGGAGGAACACCGGUGGCGAAGGCGGGUCUCUGGGCCGUUACUGACGCUGAGGAGCGAAAGCGUGGGGAGCGAACAGG
RNAcentral lists this ribosomal RNA (425 nucleotides) under bacterium. RNAcentral describes it as "partial 16S ribosomal RNA". It matches the Rfam family "Bacterial small subunit ribosomal RNA", at positions 355 to 776 of the family's 1533-position model. The record is from RNAcentral.